GAGGAAUACGACCUAUGAGUGGGAGGUGAAAACUAUUUAUGAUCAUCAUUUUUAAGACCAGCACGCUUGGCCUUCUGUGGCUGACAAGAUCAGCCGCUGUUCUGUUGACCCAAAACGAGCUCUUAGUGACGGCCAAGCACAGAGCUGCUCAGCGAUUAACCUGCCUGUGCAGGCACCUGAGAGGCUGAGCAAAGUCGGACUUCGGUCGCUGUGGUCAUCUGGAUAGCUUCUGGUUCAUGUUCAUGGGCGCAGAUGACUCGGGAAAUGAUACGCGAAUUGAACCUACAAAGUACGGAGUAAAAGGGA
RNAcentral lists this small RNA (306 nucleotides) under Histoplasma capsulatum. Its description in RNAcentral is "hypothetical RNA". RNAcentral also lists the same sequence under 1 other name. The record is from RNAcentral. Lineage: Eukaryota; Fungi; Ascomycota; Eurotiomycetes; Onygenales; Ajellomycetaceae.